This 588-nucleotide ribosomal RNA is filed under the name uncultured bacterium. RNAcentral describes it as "bacterial SSU rRNA". It matches the Rfam family "Bacterial small subunit ribosomal RNA", at positions 102 to 686 of the family's 1533-position model. The record is from RNAcentral.
ACGGGUGAGUAAUGCCUAGGAAUCUGCCUGGUAGUGGGGGACAACGUCUCGAAAGGGACGCUAAUACCGCAUACGUCCUACGGGAGAAAGCAGGGGACCUUCGGGCCUUGCGCUAUCAGAUGAGCCUAGGUCGGAUUAGCUAGUUGGUGAGGUAAUGGCUCACCAAGGCGACGAUCCGUAACUGGUCUGAGAGGAUGAUCAGUCACACUGGAACUGAGACACGGUCCAGACUCCUACGGGAGGCAGCAGUGGGGAAUAUUGGACAAUGGGCGAAAGCCUGAUCCAGCCAUGCCGCGUGUGUGAAGAAGGUCUUCGGAUUGUAAAGCACUUUAAGUUGGGAGGAAGGGUUGUAGAUUAAUACUCUGCAAUUUUGACGUUACCGACAGAAUAAGCACCGGCUAACUCUGUGCCAGCAGCCGCGGUAAUACAGAGGGUGCAAGCGUUAAUCGGAAUUACUGGGCGUAAAGCGCGCGUAGGUGGUUUGUUAAGUUGGAUGUGAAAGCCCCGGGCUCAACCUGGGAACUGCAUUCAAAACUGACAAGCUAGAGUAUGGUAGAGGGUGGUGGAAUUUCCUGUGUAGCGGUGAAA